This is an RNA transcript of Dendrobium catenatum, 3305 nucleotides long. It is a transcript of the gene named oxysterol-binding protein-related protein 1D, with no coding region annotated. The transcript is spliced from 9 exons. The record is from RefSeq and is a predicted model, not a curated record. NCBI's taxonomy places the organism in Eukaryota, Viridiplantae, Streptophyta, Magnoliopsida, Asparagales, Orchidaceae.
GAACAGGGGAUCUAUCAGGAGGUACUCACUGUCCUUCAGCCGCAGCCUCCCACUGCGUAGUGCGCACUGUAUUGCUGCGCUCUGCGGCGAAGGUCAGCGAAUUAAUGGAUCCGUCGCGGCGCAGAGGCGUUCCGCUCCGGGCUUUUUAAUGCCGCCUGCCCCGACCCUCAACCGCCGCUUUUAUGACCAUUUCCAUCGUCUUCUGCACUCCCAGAUCUGCUAGCCGAUCGCUGAUCCGACGGCAUUCCCGGCGAUCACCGUCGAUCGGCUGUUCCUGCAGCGGAGCUUGCUGAGGGGUAGAGUUGGGGUUCUGUGAGUGCAGCAGUGUGGGAGGAGUGGGAGACUUUUGAUAUCUGAUCUGCUAUUUUGGUCAUUUGUUCUAUACUUUUUAUUGCGUUUUGUAGUUUUGCUGCUUUCUGUUUUUCGUACGAUGAAUCCGCUUUGCUGCAUUGCGCCGGUGUCUCUGGAGCGCGGGGAUCGCGGGAGUGCGCCGGUUGCGUCGUUGAAGGCGAAUGCGAAACCGGCGGCGGGGUUAGAGAAUCCUGCGAGGAACUCGUCGAGCAAGCAGCUUACGCCCGCGCAAAUGUCGGCGGUGGCGGGGAAUCUGGAGUUGGGAGCUAGCUGCGAAGCGGAGGACGGGCCUAGCCGCCCGGCGGAGGGAAGAGAGGGGAAGAGCGGCGGCGCUGUCAGUGGAAAGGUGGCGGGGAUUUUGUACAAGUGGGUGAACUACGGGAAAGGGUGGAGAUCGCGGUGGUUCGUGCUGCAGGAUGGGGUUUUGUCGUACUAUAAGGUGCAUGGGCCGGACAAGAUCUCUGUGGGGUCGGCGUCAUGCGAGGCAAGCGGUGUGCGGGUGAUCGGCGAAGAAUCACUACGGAGAGUGAAGAGGGAGCAACGGGCUGGGGAAGUGAUGGGACAAGCGGAUAUGAAGCAGUGGAAGCCGUUUGGGGAGAUUCAUUUGAAGGUUUCUUCGAUUCGUUCAAGCAAGUCAGAUGAUAAAAGGCUGUCUAUUUUCACUGGUACAAAGACCCUCCAUUUGCGUUGCGAUUCAAGGGAGGAUCGUAGUUUGUGGAUUGAAGCUCUGCUUUUAGCUAAAGAUCUGUUUCCUCGUUUUCCAACAAGCAAUGACUUGGAAACCGCUGUAGAUGUUACGGUUUCUACGGAGAAACUGCGAACUCGAUUAUUGGAGGAAGGUUUGGAUGAAAUAGUAAUAAAAGAGUGUGAGUCUAUCGUGCUAUGUGAAACAUCUGUGCUACUGAAUCAGUUGAGGUGUCUUCAGCAAAAACAUAUUGUCUUGCUUGAUGCACUAAGACAGUUGGAGACAGAAAAGUUAGAGCUGGAGACUACUGUAGUAGACGAGACAAAAGAACGGGAGGCAAACCUUGGGCAGGGGAAUGGAAGAUUUAGCGAUUUCUAUUCAGUUAUGUCAGAUGGCAGUGCAAGUGAUUCUGAUGUAGACAUUGAAAGCCAAGGAGCAGAUGGUGAAACUGAUGAUGAUGAUGGAAUUUAUUUUGAUACAAGAGAUUUCUUGUCUUCAGAAUUUCUGCGAAGCGUUUCAUAUCGUAGUCAGGAAUCCAAAUGUAAUGGAGGUCUUAGUGUAAAUGGAAAAGCCUUCUACUUUCCUGACGUGAUGCAAGCUAAUGAUGGAGUCAACACCAUAGAAUACCCCUUUGUUAAAAGGAGGGACAAGUUGCCAGAACCAAAAGAAAAAGAAAAGCCUAUUGGUCUUUGGUCGAUAAUUAAGGAAAACAUUGGAAAAGAUCUCUCUGGAGUUUGUCUUCCAGUUUACUUUAAUGAGCCUCUUUCUUCUUUGCAAAAAUGCUUUGAAGAUUUGGAAUACUCAUACUUGGUUGAUCGAGCAUUGGAAUGGGGAAAGCAGGGGAACAACUUGAUGAGGAUUCUAAACACUGCAGCCUUUGCAGUAUCAGGAUAUGCUUCAACAGAAGGUCGGCAGUGCAAACCUUUCAAUCCUCUUCUUGGGGAAACAUAUGAGGCUGAUUAUCCAGAUAAAGGCUUACGUUUCUUUUCUGAGAAGGUGAGUCACCAUCCAAUGGUUGUUGCCUGUCACUGUGAAGGUAGAGGAUGGAAAUUCUGGGGUGAUUCCAAUUUGAAAGGGAAGUUCUGGGGUCGAUCUAUUCAGCUUGAUCCUAUUGGAAUACUAACACUUCAAUUUGAAGAUGGGGAAACAUUCCAGUGGAGUAAAGUGACAACAUCUAUUUAUAAUAUCAUACUCGGUAAAAUAUAUUGUGAUCACUAUGGUACUAUGCGCAUAAAAGGCUGUGGUCAGUAUUCUUGUAAACUCAAAUUCAAGGAGCAGUCUAUCAUUGAUCGUAAUCCCCAUCAGGUGCAUGGAUUUGUGCAAGAUAAUAGAACGGGAAACAAGGUUGCAAUGUUGUUGGGCAAGUGGGAUGAAGCAAUGUACUAUGUACUUGGUGAUUCUAGCACUAAACCGAAGGGCUAUGAUCCAAUGUCAGAGGCUGUUCUUCUAUGGGAGCGUGACAAGUCUACAACCCAAACCCGAUACAACCUUACGCCCUUUGCCAUAUCAUUGAAUGAGUUAACACCUGGUAUGGCGGACAAAUUACCACCGACAGAUUCACGUCUAAGGCCCGAUCAAAGGCAUUUAGAAAAUGGAGAAUAUGAGCUUGCAAAUGCUGAAAAGCUUAGACUUGAACAAUUACAGAGACAGGUUUUGCGCUCUUUCACAGGCAAGAAAGUUGCAGGAAAAGGGAUGGCAACCCAGGUGGUUCAGGAAAGAUACAGAAGAUGAUUGUUACAAGUAUGUCGGAGGGUACUGGGAAGCAAGACAGGAAAGAAAAUGGGAUGGAAUUCCUAAUAUAUUUGGUCAGAACGAUGCUAUGCGCAGUGUAGAAUCGCCGGCAGGAGCCGAGGGCGGCUUAUAAUGUGGGCAUGAAAGAAGCAAUGCCUGUGUGCUAUUGAGAAGAUUAUGUGGCCAUGCCAGAAGGUGUAGAGACCUGAGCUGCUGUGCAUGUUAUAGGCAGGCUCUGGACCCCAUGACUUGACUGUAAGUUCUUUAUGAGGUCUUGAUAGGCAUUCUAUAAGAGAAGAAAUUAUUGUUCUGCUCUAUUAUAAUAUAACUUAUUAUAUCAUUACUGUAUUUCUUUUAUGUUUGGCAGUAUGUUGAAUUAGGUUAGUAAGACUCUAAUGUACAUAUUUAUCUGGUGUUUUUGUUCCUUGGUGAUGUUUGAUAAGGGGGAAAAAUUGGUUUUUGUGGGUUGUGGUGGAUUUUAAAUUCAUUGGAUUUGCUUUGAGAUUAGUGCAAUAUAAGUUUUUGUUGAUUGUGACUA